This 77-nucleotide transfer RNA is filed under the name Ochrobactrum phage vB_OspM_OC. Its description in RNAcentral is "tRNA-Arg". It matches the Rfam family "tRNA". Rfam says of the family: Transfer RNA (tRNA) molecules are approximately 80 nucleotides in length. The record is from RNAcentral. Lineage: Duplodnaviria; Heunggongvirae; Uroviricota; Caudoviricetes; Pantevenvirales; Kyanoviridae.
ACUUCCAUAGCUCAACAGAAUAGAGCAACAGAUUACGAAUCUGUAGGUUACUGGUUUGAAUCCAGUUGGAAGUUCCA